GCUGCGGCCGCAGACGGAGAAGGCGGCGGCGGAGGCACCGACUCGAGCUUGACCAGGGUCAGCGAGAUGAGCACGGCUGUCUGCGAAGGCGGUGCAAAAUCCAGGACUGGAUUUCCCUCCCAAAUCCUGGGCUGGAUUUCCUGGAACUUGGACUCACCUACUCCAACACUCCAGCACCCUCCCCUAGCACACCCCGGUCAGGGAGCGCUACUGUUGGGUGUGACAUUUAGGCGCGAGAGUAAAGAUCGGUGUAUGGGUGGACGAUCCUCGGAGAAAACGGAGCAAAUGCGGGUUCACUGCCAACUCUAGGGAAGCUGAUGUGGGAAAGUGGGGAGCCCUGAAAUCCCUUUCCCAGGACCCCUUGUUUCCCCCAGCUGGAGAACAAGAGGUCACUGAUCCAUCAUGGGUCCUGGGAAUGACCACAUUAUCCAGUCCCAGAACCUCCUGCCCCAAACUGCUUCCUGCCCCGGACUCCCCAGGCAGGGUCCAAGUCUACCAUGGGUCUGUCACGGCCUGUCUUCCCCAUGCUCACCCACUUCUCCAUUGCCAAGGUCA
Long non-coding RNA from Balaenoptera musculus (blue whale), 555 nucleotides. RefSeq lists it as uncharacterized. The transcript has 3 exons. The record is from RefSeq and is a predicted model, not a curated record. Lineage: Eukaryota; Metazoa; Chordata; Mammalia; Artiodactyla; Balaenopteridae.